UGGGGAAUAUUGCACAAUGGGCGCAAGCCUGAUGCAGCCAUGCCGCGUGUAUGAAGAAGGCCUUCGGGUUGUAAAGUACUUUCAGCGGGGAGGAAGGCGAUAAGGUUAAUAACCUUGUCGAUUGACGUUACCCGCAGAAGAAGCACCGGCUAACUCCGUGCCAGCAGCCGCGGUAAUACGGAGGGUGCAAGCGUUAAUCGGAAUUACUGGGCGUAAAGCGCACGCAGGCGGUCUGUCAAGUCGGAUGUGAAAUCCCCGGGCUCAACCUGGGAACUGCAUUCGAAACUGGCAGGCUAGAGUCUUGUAGAGGGGGGUAGAAUUCCAGGUGUAGCGGUGAAAUGCGUAGAGAUCUGGAGGAAUACCGGUGGCGAAGGCGGACCCCUGGACAAAGACUGACGCUCAGGUGCGAAAGCGUGGGGAGCAAACA
This 427-nucleotide ribosomal RNA is filed under the name uncultured bacterium. Its description in RNAcentral is "partial 16S ribosomal RNA". It matches the Rfam family "Bacterial small subunit ribosomal RNA", at positions 355 to 774 of the family's 1533-position model. The record is from RNAcentral.